RNAcentral lists this ribosomal RNA (507 nucleotides) under uncultured Glomeraceae. RNAcentral's name for it is "SSU rRNA". It matches the Rfam family "Eukaryotic small subunit ribosomal RNA", at positions 569 to 1078 of the family's 1831-position model. Lineage: Eukaryota; Fungi; Glomeromycota; Glomeromycetes; Glomerales; Glomeraceae. The record is from RNAcentral.
AGCAGCCGCGGUAAUUCCAGCUCCAAUAGCGUAUAUUAAAGUUGUUGCAGUUAAAAAGCUCGUAGUUGAAUUUCGGGAUCAAUUUGUCGGUCGUGCCUCGGUACGUACUGGUAUUAUUGAUUUCUCCCUUCUGAAGAACCGCGAUGUCAUUAAUUUGGUGUCGUGGGAAAUCAGGACUGUUACUUUGAAAAAAUUAGAGUGUUUAAAGCAAGCUUACGCUUGAAUACAUUAGCAUGGAAUAAUGAAAUAGGACGUUUGAUUCUAUUUUGUUGGUUUCUAGGAUCGACGUAAUGAUUAAUAGGGAUAGUUGGGGGCAUUAGUAUUCAAUUGUCAGAGGUGAAAUUCUUGGAUUUAUUGAAGACUAACUACUGCGAAAGCAUUUGCCAAGGAUGUUUUCAUUAAUCAAGAACGAAAGUUAGGGGAUCGAAGACGAUCAGAUACCGUCGUAGUCUUAACCAUAAACUAUGCCGACUAGGGAUCGGAUGAUGUUAAUUUUUUAAUGACUCA